CCUACGGGAGGCAGCAGUGAGGAAUAUUGGUCAAUGGGCGGAAGCCUGAACCAGCCAAGUAGCGUGCAGGAUGACGGCCCUACGGGUUGUAAACUGCUUUUAUACGGGAAUAACGCGCCGUACGUGUAGGGCUUUGCAUGUACCGUAUGAAUAAGGACCGGCUAAUUCCGUGCCAGCAGCCGCGGUAAUACGGAAGGUCCGGGCGUUAUCCGGAUUUAUUGGGGUUAAAGGGAGCGUAGGCCGCAUGUCAAGCGUGCGGGGAAAUGUCCGGGCUCAACCCGGGCCUUGCAGCGCGAACUGGCGUGCUUGCGUCCGCGGCACGCAGGCGGCCUUCGUCGUGUAGCGGUGACAUGCUUAGAUCUGAC
RNAcentral lists this ribosomal RNA (365 nucleotides) under uncultured bacterium. Its description in RNAcentral is "partial 16S ribosomal RNA". It matches the Rfam family "Bacterial small subunit ribosomal RNA", at positions 338 to 700 of the family's 1533-position model. The record is from RNAcentral.